Pygocentrus nattereri (red-bellied piranha) is the source of this 4492-nucleotide long non-coding RNA. RefSeq lists it as uncharacterized. The record is from RefSeq and is a predicted model, not a curated record. Lineage: Eukaryota; Metazoa; Chordata; Actinopteri; Characiformes; Serrasalmidae. The transcript is spliced from 3 exons.
CAUUCCGGAUAGAGAGUUUAGCAGAGGGGUGUAAUGGCGUAGAUAAGCCCAGCGGGCCGGGCCGGGCCGAGCCAAGCCGAAACUGGAGGAAAGCCCGGUUCCCCACAACCAGCACAAACACACGGGAGCCUGCGGACGAGUCUUGAGAUCACGCCGUCGAAGGAGAAGAGGGCGGCGGGUCCACGACCUGUCGCACGUCGUGUACUGCAAACGGAACCGUUCCACCAUGCUUUGGCACAAGACCACAAUGGGACCAUUACCUGGUGUGCUCCACUUCACUCCUGGCUAGAGCUUCACGUCGGUCCAGGAGUCAUGGGGGUCGGCAUCAGCGGUGAAGUCCGGAAGUCCGUUUCUUGGCCGUUCAUCCACGGCUCUCAUGGGAAGGAUCACACAAUCCACUUCGAAUACGUUUUUAGGCGAAAUGUGAAGCAUCCGUCAUUUUCACGCCUCCGUUUGUAGUACAGAACUUGUAUAUUUGAAUUUUACCCCAUUAUCGCUCUUCGUGUCCAGUCAGUUAAAUUUGCGCACAUUUCACAUUGAGAAUCUGCAGCUCGUAGCCCUGAAGUUAGACGUCAGUUUGUGUGAAAGAAAUUACUUUUCUUUACAUGCAGAAACACUAAAAUGCAGCUUUUUCUGGAGUGUUUUAAAGUCAACAGCUUUUCUAAGUAUGCGUUCGUCUGCUCUUGUGGAUUCUCCCUGAAGCUAUAGGCUCUGUGUUUUAGUGCUCAAACUUCCCUCCGUCUUUCACUGUUAACCUGUAUAAAGUUUUAGAGCUGUAGCCCACGUUGUGGAAUUAAUUCUUGAGCUUAUCCGAACUAUUUCGUGUAGACAGUUCAGUCAGAAAUGCUGAUGCUGCUCAAGAUGAAUGAAAGCGAACACCUGCUAGCCAUGUUGAGCAUGUUUGGCAUAGCUGUUCCUUAGCUACACACUCGGUUCUACCUACACAAGAUGGUUCUUCAAGGGCUCAAUAAAGACAUCCAUCCAUCCAUCCUCAACCGCUUAUCCGAGUCCGGGUCACGGGGGCAGCAGCCUAAGCAAAGGGGCCCAGGCCUCCCUCUCCCCCGCCAGCUUCUCCAGCUCUUCCAGAGGGAUACAGAGGCGUUCCCAAGACAGUUGAGAGAUGUAAUCCCUCCAGCGUGUCCUGGGUCUUCCCUGGGGUCUCCUCCCCAUCGGACAUGCCUGGAACGCCUCCCUAUUGAAGCGUCCAGAGGCCGUCUUACCAAAUGCCCAAACCACCUCAACUGGCUUCUCUGAACGUGGAGGAGCAGCGGCUCCACUCCGAGCCUCUCCCGAAUCGCCGAUCUUCUCACCCUAUCUUUAAGGGAGAGCCCGGCGAUCCUGUGGAGAAAGCUCAUUUUAGCCGCUUGUAUCCGUGAUCUCGUCCUUUCGGUCACUACCCAAAGCUCGUGACCAUAGGUGAGAGUCGCAACGUAGAUUGACCAGUAAAUUGACAGCUUCGCCUUCUGGCUCAGCUCUCUUCACCAUGACGGUCCGCGUUACUGCAGAUGCCGCACCAAUCUGCCUGUCAACCUCUCACUCCACCCUUCCUUCACUCGUGAACAAAAUCCCAAGAUAUUUAAACUCCACUUGGGGCAAGAAUUCACUCCUCAUUAAAGACAACGGUUCUAUUUAGAAUCAUGUGUUCUACGUAGAGCUGCUUGCCUGCUUGAAUGGAUCUUUGCAUGGUCAAAUGGUUCUUUAGAUGGACUGAGAAUGUGUUGUAUGUGGUUCUGUAUAGCAGCAAAAAGGGUUCUGCUGCUGUUAUGAUGUAAAGCUUGUAACAACAGAAGAGCUCUUUUGGUGCCAUAGGGAACCAUUUUAAAAAAGAUUCCAUAUAUAAUCAUGUUCCCUCACUCACCAUGCGGAGAACCAUUAAAGCAUGCCAGUAAUUCUGUAUAGAGCUCUAAAGAGUUCAAAAUAAGACUGCUUUCACUUAAGAACCCUUGAAGAACCAUCUUUUUAAGUGUGUAGCGUGAUAUUUAGCUUUAGCCACCCAUUUCUUUUAGUAUAUUUUCAUGGCAGAGGAAACUGAAUGAUUUAUCAAGUGACACAAGAAAAGCCAAAUAGCUUUAUUUUAUAUGUCUGUACAUUGACUAUGCUAAUAUCUUCAGCUGCCCGCAAUGUAGCAUUCUUAGUAGAGUUAUGUUGAUGGUUUGAAAGGAGGUGAAAAUCCAGGAAAAAAAAGUAUAGCAUAGGAAAAGUGGACGCUGGUGAAGCCGGUGGUAUUUUUUACUUUGCGUGGACAUGCUGGUGUUGGUUUUAGUAAUAAUCAUAGGAGCUUUCGGAAGGACUGUGUUUAGUGAGUGUAACAGCCGUCAUCCAUGUGUUUACGUUCUUGUUUUUCAUGAGACUUCCACUGGGAUUAGUAUAGGAGUUGAUUUCUGUCUCAUUAUCCGAUGCAUGUUGGAGAUCAUAGUAACGGCGUAUAGCUGGGGUGCGAACCUCCGGUCCUGGAGCGCGGUUCGGAGCGGUUUCCCCGCUCAAAACAGCCACUAAACUUGGCAAUUAAGAGACCAGUGUAUUCAGGUGUGUUUGAGCAGGAAUGCCGUACACAGGACCGGAGAUAUGUACCCCUGGCGUAUAGUAUAUAUUGACAGUACCAGUCACACUAGUGCUAUACGAGGAUGGAGAAGUUCUGCAAGGCACUCGUAAAUUUCCCAGUUGGACUCUUAACCUGUUCCUUAUUCAUUCCCUUGUGCUCUCAUGUGCCUGCCAAGCUCCACCCGAAAUAUUUAGUACCACAAAAACCAGAGAGUUGUGCGCCCCAGUUUGAACCCGAUCCUGGAUACGACAUCCAGGGACAUGGGAUAUGUGCAAUACGCGUGCCCUUCCCUUUUUUUUUUGUCCUGUUUUGAGAUAAAUGUGUAUAUUGUACAAACAAGUGACGAGUUGUUCGUGAAAAAAACAACAAAAUCACCAAUGUCUUCCAUUAAAUGAUGUAUAGAUUCAUCCGCUUACUUUGCUGUAGCGGGAUUUGUCGUGCCAACGUUAUGUGUGGCCAUGCAUGACUGGACAUGAUGCUUGCAGAAUAAAGUAGUUGUAGUAAAAAAUACAGUAUAUAUAACUGUACUGAUUAUUAGCGACAUAGUUAACCAGAUAUGGAUAGUUACUGCCGUGGAUGGAGCUUCCUUUCCUUGCAUAGGAGCUUCGGAUAGCUUUUUGGGCGAAUCACAAAAACUAAGAGAGGCCUGGAGGAAGACCAUUCGUUUUGUUCGUCACAUGUUCUUUGAUUACUCAUUUCACCCCAGACAUCAUCAUCAUCAUCAUCGUCGUCGUCCGGCUAAAGAAGCAGCCGUUGGUUUUCCUAGCGUGAACAUAGCGAAUGCAUGAUAUAAACGUCGUAAUUCUGCUAGUUUGUGUUAACGUGAGGGGUUUUUGUGUCAAAAGGCUAACCAGCAUCUCCCACCCUAAUCGGACCCUCACCCCUCCAAUGCAGAGUCGAAGUCAGUGAAGGACAAACUCAAGGUUUUUUUACAUCUUGAGUGAUUUUUAUGAUCAGAUAAGUAGGUGCUUCAUGGUUGUAUCAGCAGCAUGCGAAUUCGCGGAUGUGGUAAUUUGGUCCCAUUGUGAAAGUACUAAACGCAAAUGUGGAGAAUAGGAACCGAAUAAAGAACUCUCUGUGAUUUAGUGUCGUCUCGCAAACCGUUGCGGACGCCUCUGAGCUGUAGGAGGGCGGUUACUUGGUUCGCUUCACGGUAGCACAAAUUCUGGUGUACAUUUCGGGGGGGAAACAUGCCCUAACAAUCAAAAUAUUGUAAUGUAGAUAAAUACCUCAGUGACUGGAAUGCAAAAUAUAUAUUUUUAGAUUACACUUACAUAUAUGCAAGCCAUAAUACAUCUUACAUUAGCUAUUUAGAAGCAAUAACCUUAUUAUAUGCAUGAAUUCUAGUGCCAGAAUGGUGUUUUUGUGGAAUGGAAAACUGUAGCAUAGCUGUGGUGAGUGUUAAGGCCUAUUACAUGGCCCAACUGUUAAUGUCCACUGGUAGAACAUAUAGAAAUAUCCCACAACAAUAGGCCAGUCUUUAGCAGCUGAUCAAACGACUUUCAUCGAUCACUAAAACCAAAAAAAAACAUUUGUGAAUGUAGUACCUAAACUUUGCAUAUUGGACGGAAAAUAAUGUGGCGAGAGAACAUAGUUAAUGUUAAACUAUAUGCACUGCAUGUUUUAUGUUGUUAAAAAACGGCACAGCGGCAGAAACCGUAAUCAUAACGCACACAAACUGUAUAUGCAGUCAGUUAACUGAAAGCAAUAGGAGCAGUGUGUUGGCUAGCUGUUGACGACACUCAAACUGUAUCUUGGUAGGUAGGUUCUUUCUGAUACCACAGCAAACUUAAGUGGACAUCAUUGUGCAAUGGUAAUCGUAAGCCUAGUAUUAAUCGGUGUUUUUAUAUCGGAAUGCAGGAAUAAAAAUAGCUGCUGCAUGGUAGAAGUGGGUAAGAAAUGUGUUGUGCUGCAUGCAGUAAUUAAGCUUUGCUUGAGGAAAAAAAAAAA